GAUGAACGCUGGCGGCGUGCCUAAUACAUGCAAGUCGAGCGAACGGACGAGAAGCUUGCUUCUCUGAUGUUAGCGGCGGACGGGUGAGUAACACGUGGAUAACCUACCUAUAAGACUGGGAUAACUUCGGGAAACCGGAGCUAAUACCGGAUAAUAUUUUGAACCGCAUGGUUCAAAAGUGAAAGACGGUCUUGCUGUCACUUAUAGAUGGAUCCGCGCUGCAUUAGCUAGUUGGUAAGGUAACGGCUUACCAAGGCAACGAUGCAUAGCCGACCUGAGAGGGUGAUCGGCCACACUGGAACUGAGACACGGUCCAGACUCCUACGAGAGGCAGCAGUAGGGAAUCUUCCGCAGUGGGCGAGAGCCUUGCGGAGCAACGCCGCGUGAGUGAUGAAGGUCUUCGGAUCGUAAAGCUCUGUUAUUAGGGAAGAACAUAUGUGUAAGUAACUGUGCACAUCUUGACGGUACCUAAUCAGAAAGCCACGGCUAACUACGUG
This 497-nucleotide ribosomal RNA is filed under the name uncultured bacterium. Its description in RNAcentral is "partial 16S ribosomal RNA". It matches the Rfam family "Bacterial small subunit ribosomal RNA", at positions 28 to 507 of the family's 1533-position model. The record is from RNAcentral.